Molecule: ribosomal RNA, 1842 nt
Filed under: Striatosphaeria castanea
Lineage: Eukaryota; Fungi; Ascomycota; Sordariomycetes; Chaetosphaeriales; Chaetosphaeriaceae
Description: partial large subunit ribosomal RNA
Rfam family: Eukaryotic large subunit ribosomal RNA
Source: RNAcentral
UUGACCUCGGAUCAGGUAGGAAUACCCGCUGAACUUAAGCAUAUCAAUAAGCGGAGGAAAAGAAACCAACAGGGAUUGCCUCAGUAACGGCGAGUGAAGCGGCAACAGCUCAAAUUUGAAAUCUGGCCCCCGGCCCGAGUUGUAAUUUGCAGAGGAUGCUUCCGGCGAGGCGCUUUCCAAGUCCCCUGGAACGGGGCGCCACAGAGGGUGAGAGCCCCGUCUGGUCGGCGGCCGAGCCUGUGCGAAGCUCCUUCGACGAGUCGAGUAGUUUGGGAAUGCUGCUCUAAACGGGAGGUAGACCCCUUCUAAAGCUAAAUACCGGCCAGAGACCGAUAGCGCACAAGUAGAGUGAUCGAAAGAUGAAAAGCACUUUGAAAAGAGGGUUAAACAGUACGUGAAAUUGUUGAAAGGGAAGCGCUCGGGACCAGACGUGCGCCGGGCGUUCAGCGGGCGUUCUCGCCCGUGUACUCGCCCCGGCGCAGGCCAGCGUCGGCUCGGGAGGGGGGACAAGGGCGCUGGGAACGUGGCUCCUCCGGGAGUGUUACAGCCCAGCGCGUCAUGCCCCCGCCCGGGCCGAGGUUCGCGCUCCGCAAGGACGCUGGCGUAAUGGUCUCCAGCGGCCCGUCUUGAAACACGGACCAAGGAGUCGAGGUUUUGCGCGAGUGUCUGGGUGUCAAGCCCGCACGCGUAAUGAAAGUGAACGCAGGUGGGAGCUUCGGCGCACCACCGACCGAUCCUGAUGUUCUCGGAUGGAUUUGAGUAGGAGCGCAGGGCCUCGGACCCGAAAGAUGGUGAACUAUACUUGGAUAGGGUGAAGCCAGAGGAAACUCUGGUGGAGGCUCGCAGCGGUUCUGACGUGCAAAUCGAUCGUCAAAUCUGAGUAUGGGGGCGAAAGACUAAUCGAACCAUCUAGUAGCUGGUUACCGCCGAAGUUUCCCUCAGGAUAGCAGUGUUGAUCUCAGUUUUAUGAGGUAAAGCGAAUGAUUAGGGACUCGGGGGCGCUUUUUAGCCUUCAUCCAUUCUCAAACUUUAAAUAUGUAAGAAGCCCCUGUUGCUUAAUUGAACGGGGGCAUUCGAAUGCAGCAACACUAGUGGGCCAUUUUUGGUAAGCAGAACUGGCGAUGUGGGAUGAACCAUACGGGGGGUUAAGGUGCCGGAGUGGACGCUCAUCAGACACCACAAAAGGCGUUAGCACAUCUUGACAGCAGGACGGUGGCCAUGGAAGUCGGAAUCCGCUAAGGACUGUGUAACAACUCACCUGCCGAAUGUGCUAGCCCUGAAAAUGGAUGGCGCUCAAGCGUCCCACCCAUACCCCCCCCUCAGGGUAGAAACGAUGCCCUGAGGAGUAGGCGGCCGCAGCGCUGUGUGACGAAGGCUAGGGCGUGAGCCCGGCUCGAACUGGCGCUGGUGCAGAUCUUGGUGGUAGUAGCAAAUACUUCAAUGAGAACUUGAAGGACCGAAGUGGAGAAAGGUUCCAUAUGAACAGCGGUUGGAUGUGGGUUAGUCGAUCCUGAGCCAUAGGGAAGUUCCGUUUCAAAGGGGCACUCGUGCCCCGUAUGGCGACAGGGAAGCCGGUCAAUAUUCCCGGCACCUGGAUGUGGGUUUUUCGCGGUAACGCAACCGAACGCGGAGACGGCGGCGGGGGCCCCGGGCAGAGUUCUCUUUUCUUCUUAACGGUCUCACCACCCUGGAAACAGUUUGUCUGGAGAUAGGGUUCCACGGCCGGAAGAGCCCAGCACUUCUGCUGGGUCCGGCGCGCCCCCGACGUCCCUUGAAAAUCCGCGGGAGGGAAUAAUUCUCGCGCUAGGUCGUACUCAUAACCGCAGCAGUCCUCCAAGGUGA